UCCCCCUGCACCUGUUCUUUUCUUCUGGUAAAGACUGGCCACAAAGAAACCAAGUACGAGGAGGAGAAUUCUCAGCUCUGUUCCCUACUUACCAUUUUGUCAGUCUCUGGAAUUUUCUUACACUAUUGGCUAUGCCAUAUGAUAUCCUGCAGAAGUUCUUCACCCACGAGAACGUUCCCUAGGCUUGGAACUCACCAUCCACCUGCAAACGGCCUGAUGAUUCAAAAACGGUGUUCCUCUUUUGGAUGGCUAUUUACAGUUUUGAGAACUCCUGCCCCGGAUGUAGAAAGAGAGAACAGUCCCGUGAAAUUGGCAUCUUUGAAUAAUUUCCGCAUCAGAUGAAAAUGAAGAAUUUUCCAAAUACAACUGGACAUGCCACAAAGAGAAAAAUUAACUGGAAAACAACUUAAGCCCUCCACUGCAGAAAAUACAGCUGACCUUUGAAAAACAUAGAUUUGAACUGCACAAGUCCACAUAAGUGGAUUUUCUUCUACCUCUGCCACUCCAGAGACAGCAAGACCAACCCCUCCUCUUCUUCCUCCUCCUCAGCCUACUCAAUGAGAAGACAAUGAAGAUGAGGACUUUUAUGAUAAUCUGCUUCCACUUAAUGAAUAGUAAAUAUAUUUUCUCUUCCUUAAUAAUUUUCAUAAUAACAUAACAUUUUCUUUUCUCUAGCUCACUUUAUUGUAAGAAUACAGUAUAUAAAA
This 707-nucleotide long non-coding RNA is filed under the name Homo sapiens (human). RNAcentral describes it as "HSALNT0168723". The record is from RNAcentral. Lineage: Eukaryota; Metazoa; Chordata; Mammalia; Primates; Hominidae.